RNAcentral lists this ribosomal RNA (519 nucleotides) under uncultured bacterium. RNAcentral's name for it is "bacterial SSU rRNA". It matches the Rfam family "Bacterial small subunit ribosomal RNA", at positions 8 to 518 of the family's 1533-position model. The record is from RNAcentral.
AGAGUUUGAUCCUGGCUUAGGAUGAACGCUAGCUACAGGCUUAACACAUGCAAGUCGAGGGGCAGCGAGGGGUUAGCUGCUAAUCCUGUCGGCGACCGGCGCACGGGUGAGUAACGCGUAUCCAACCUGGCCCAUAGUAGGAAUAGCCGGCGAAAGUCGGAUUAAUGCCCUAUGUUAUCCGAUGAGGACAUCUGAAUUGGAUUAAAGAUUCAUCGCUAUGGGAUGGGGAUGCGUCUGAUUAGCUUGCCGGCGGGGUAACGGCCCACCGGGGCAACGAUCAGUAGGGGUUCUGAGAGGAAGGUCCCCCACAUUGGAACUGAGACACGGUCCAAACUCCUACGGGAGGCAGCAGUGAGGAAUAUUGGUCAAUGGCCGCAAGGCUGAACCAGCCAAGUAAGCGUGCAGGAUGACGGCCCUAUGGGUUGUAAACUGCUUUUGCGGGGGAAUAAAGUGAGGGACGCGUCCCUUUUUGUAUGUACCCUGAGAAUAAGGACCGGCUAAUUCCGUGCCAGCCGCCGC